GACGAACGCUGGCGGCGUGCUUAACACAUGCAAGUCGAGCGGAGCGGCGAACGGGUGAGUAACGCGUGAGUAACUGCCCCCCUCUCUGGGAUAACAGUUGGAAACGGCUUCUCAUACCGGAUAGUGGGGGAUGACUCGCGUCCUAUCAGUUUGUUGGUGGGGUAGUGGCCUACUAAGGCGACGACGGGUAGCCGGCCUGAGAGGGCGACCGGCCACAUGGGGCUGAGAUACGGCACAAACGCCUACGGGAGGCAGAAGUGGGGAAUAUUACACAAUGGGGGAAACACUGAUGCAGCAACGCCGCGUGCGGGAUGACGGUCUUCGGAUUGUAAACUUCUGUAGACAGGGACGCGGUACCUGUAGAAUAAGCCACGGCUAACUACGUGCCAGCAGCCGCGGUAAUAC
Molecule: ribosomal RNA, 405 nt
Filed under: uncultured bacterium
Lineage: Bacteria
Description: partial 16S ribosomal RNA
Rfam family: Bacterial small subunit ribosomal RNA
Source: RNAcentral